AUCUACACCAACGAGGAGGCCUAUUGGUGCUUGCGUAGCUCCCAGAAAUGGGUCUUGAAGGGUGACGCGAACGCUGCCUACUUUCAGGCCAUUGCGAAUGGCCGCCGUAGACGCAACACCAUCCCACUCCUCUGGGGUGGCGAGACCCUCCUGCAAUCCCCGGUUGACAUUAGGGCACACGUCGACUUCUACAGGUCCUUGUUCUCCUCCGCUCCUAGGAGCGGACUAUCUGUGGCCCUCGAUUGCUGGACCGACAACCAGCUAGUUUCCUCCAUGGAGAACGAGGCCCUUACUGCCCCUUCUCUAAGGGCGAGGUCUGGGCAGCCAUUAGAGGCAUGA
Molecule: ribosomal RNA, 339 nt
Filed under: Triticum aestivum (bread wheat)
Lineage: Eukaryota; Viridiplantae; Streptophyta; Magnoliopsida; Poales; Poaceae
Description: partial small subunit ribosomal RNA
Source: RNAcentral